UACGUAGGUGACAAGCGUUGUCCGGAUUUACUGGGCGUAAAGAGCGCGUAGGCGGAAGCUUAAGUGUGGCCUGAAAGCCCCCGGCUCAACCGGGGAGGGUGGCUGCAAACUGGGCUUCUUGAGGGCGAUAGAGGAGAGUGGAAUUCCUGGUGUAGCGGUGAAAUGCGUAGAUAUCAGGAGGAACACCCGUGGCGAAGGCGGCUCUCUGGGUCGGACCUGACGCUGAGGCGCGAAAGCGUGGGGAGCGAACGGG
RNAcentral lists this ribosomal RNA (253 nucleotides) under uncultured bacterium. RNAcentral's name for it is "partial 16S ribosomal RNA". It matches the Rfam family "Bacterial small subunit ribosomal RNA", at positions 524 to 776 of the family's 1533-position model. The record is from RNAcentral.